Molecule: long non-coding RNA, 1711 nt
Filed under: Sorghum bicolor (sorghum)
Lineage: Eukaryota; Viridiplantae; Streptophyta; Magnoliopsida; Poales; Poaceae
Description: long non-coding RNA (SBIC_LNC017890)
Source: RNAcentral
UGUCUAAUAGUGUAGUUACGUUGUAGAUAAAUUCAUAAUUCGUGUCUACUACUAUAGUAAUGUUUUGUAAUGACCCAAUAUUGCACAUUAAGGAGUAUAGAGACGAUAUAUAUAGUAGAUGACGUGGAAGAUGCCGUGAAAGGUGGUGUGGCAACUGACGUGGAAAGGUGACGUGGCAAGUGACAUAAAAAGGUAACAUGGUAGCUAACGUGGAGAGGUGACAUGGCAGCUGAUGUGAAGAGGUGAUGUGGCAGGUGACAUGUUUUAUAGUAACGCCUGAAUACGUGUUAACAAAAGUAGAAACAAUAUUGUAGCCAUGUUUUUAUUGCAUGUCUACGUACAUCGAUAUGUUGUAUACGUCAUAGCGUGUAUUAAGUACUGUAGAAACAAUUUCGUACAUACAUCUAUGUUUUGUAUAGUAAUAUAGACACAUUAUAUUGACAUAUUGUAAUGCGUUAUUACGUCCCAAAAAAAUAGACAUUUUCAUUAUAUAUAUAGUGCAUCGAGAUGAAUGUAGAAAUAGUUAGAAUCAUUUUUUUAUUUUUUGUUUUUUAUUAAUAAUGGGAAGUAAACCAUCAAUGAUAUUGUAAUUGGCCUUGACAAAACAACAAGAAUCUAACUAACUCGAUUUCCAAUAUGUCCAUUACUGAUCAGAUUAUGUUCACAAAGAAGCAUAGAGAAAGUGAUAAUAUCAUAAAAUAUUACUUAAAUACUUUUUUGUAACAACUAAAACUUGAAAUUUGUACUUUGCCUCCAUCUAGCUUUGUCCACAUGCUGUGUGUACCAACUUGUUGCGGGUACGAAAUGAAUUUCUAGCUUUCUCCACCUACAAUGAAGCAUGUGUUAGAUGAAUAACUCAAUUUGAAGAUGUUACUGUCCUAUUUUGAAUGAAAAAAGUUCAAAGUUAAAUGUGAACUUGGCCAAGCAAUAAUAUAUCAACAACAUCAAUUAGUGUAUGAAUAUGAUCAAAUGGUCUAGGUACCUCCUCAUCUCCAAUAUUGCCAUGUAUAAUACUCUCAAGGCCUUCAACAUAAAUCCCCAAGUAUUUUGUUCCAAGCUUUAUUUCUAAAAUCUCUCUUGCUCUCUCUCUCUCUGGCUAUUAGUAGUUACUAACUUUCCUUUGGCCACAACUCUGCCUUUGUUUAUCACUGAAAUGAGAUAGACUUUCUCUUGUUUUUUCACGAAAAAUACAUACCAAUGAUAAAUUAGAGAGGAUGAUCCUUUUUGUAUUUUCGUCACAAAUUCAGCAAGUGUUUUAUGUCUAUGACCCAAAAGCUGAACCAUGGAAUACUGUGGUGAGAGUUAGUCUGCGAGAUAAUUUUGACAUGGACGUAGAACUCUCUGCCCGGUCAUAUGAUGCUAUAGUUGAACAUUGUGGGGUUUUUUUUUGCUCUGAAUGGUAAUGAACCAAUCUGUGUUACUUUAGGUAGGAGGUGCGAACUUGUUGGGUUACUGGUAUCUAGUGUACACAUUUCCCUAUUUGAUUAAAUAGUGUAAUCCAUGUGACCUGUAACAUGCCUUAUUUAAUUGUUCCCUGCUCUAAUGUUUUCUGGUUAUGAGUUAAUAGUAGCGGCAAUUCAAUAUUGAAUUUCAGACAUUCAGUGCAACUGCUAGGCUUGCCUUGUGUAAUCAUUGCUUACAUGUGUCUAAUUAUUCCAGCUUAAUUAUUAGCUUUAGUUGCUUGCUUGUGUUGGCUAAUGAGCAGUAGUAG